UUACAAAACGUAUAAUCAUCAUAUGUCUGAAUGAUACAGAGAAGAUUAGCAUGGCCCUGGCGCAAGGAUGACCCUCACAAAUCGAGAAAUGAUCCAAAUGUUA
Small nuclear RNA from Lycium ferocissimum, 103 nucleotides. Lineage: Eukaryota; Viridiplantae; Streptophyta; Magnoliopsida; Solanales; Solanaceae. The record is from RefSeq and is a predicted model, not a curated record.